GACUUCUGGAAGGGGUGUAUUUAUUAGAUAAAAAACCAAUCGUAGCAAUACGUUUACUGGUGAAUCAUGAUAACUAUUCGAAUCGCAUAGCUUUGCUGGCGAUGGUUCAUUCAAAUUUCUGCCCUAUCACCUUUCGAUGGUAGUAUAGAGGACUACCAUGGGUAUAACGGGUAACGGAGAAUUAGGGUUCGAUUCCGGAGAGGGAGCCUGAGAAACGGCUACCACAUCCAAGGAAGGCAGCAGGCGCGCAAAUUACCCAAUCCCGAUACGGGGAGGUAGUGACAAUAAAUAACAAUACAGAGCUUUUCAAGUUUUGUAAUUGUAAUGAGAACAAAUUAAACCUCUUAACGAGAACCAAUUGGAGGGCAAGUCUGGUGCCAGCAGCCGCGGUAAUUCCAGCUCCAAUAGCGUAUAUUAAAGUUGUUGCAGUUAAAAAGCUCGUAGUUGAACUUUGGCCUUGGCUGGGCGGUCUACUCGAAUGAGUAGUACUUCUCUGGCUGAGGCUUUCCUUCUGGCGAACUAUUGUGCCAUUCACUUGGUGCGAUAGGGAACCAGGACUUUUACUUUGAAAAAAUUAGAGUGUUUAAAGCAGGCUUACGCUUGAAUACAUUAGCAUGGAAUAAUAAAAUAGGACUUUGGUUUUAUUUUGUUGGUUUUCGAAACCGAAGUAAUGAUUAAUAGGGAUAGUUGGGGG
Molecule: ribosomal RNA, 694 nt
Filed under: uncultured fungus
Lineage: Eukaryota; Fungi
Description: SSU rRNA
Rfam family: Eukaryotic small subunit ribosomal RNA
Source: RNAcentral